Molecule: ribosomal RNA, 464 nt
Filed under: uncultured bacterium
Lineage: Bacteria
Description: partial 16S ribosomal RNA
Rfam family: Bacterial small subunit ribosomal RNA
Source: RNAcentral
ACGAACGCUGGCGGCGUGCUUAACACCUGCACGUCGUACGGUAAGGCCCUUUCGGGGGUACACGAGUGGCGAACGGGUGAGUAACACGUGAGUAACCUGCCCACAACUUUGGGAUAACGCUAGGAAACUGGUGCUAAUACUGGAUAUGUGCUCCUGCUGCAUGGUGGGGGUUGGAAAGCUCCGGCGGUUGUGGAUGGACUCGCGGCCUAUCAGCUUGUUGGUGGGGUAGUGGCCUACCAAGGCGGCGACGGGUAGCCGGCCUGAGAGGGUGACCGGCCACAUUGGGACUGAGAUACGGCCCAGACUCCUACGGGAGGCAGCAGUGGGGAAUAUUGCACAAUGGGCGCAAGCCUGAUGCAGCAACGCCGCGUGCGGGAUGACGGCCUUCGGGUUGGAAACCGCUUUCAGCAGGGACGAAGCUUUUUGUGACGGUACCUGCAGAAGAAGCACCGGCUAACUACGUG